Molecule: non-coding RNA, 830 nt
Organism: Heterocephalus glaber (naked mole-rat)
Lineage: Eukaryota; Metazoa; Chordata; Mammalia; Rodentia; Bathyergidae
Source: RefSeq, a predicted model, not a curated record
GGCUCAGCGCCCCAGGCCCGGAGACUGGUGACGCCCCGCAGGCCCGGCCCUGAUUGGCCAGGGGCCUGGCAUUAUAUAAAGGGCGGAGCUGGCCGGGCAGGCAGAGUGCCCUGCUGCCUCAUCCUGUGCGAUGUCGUGCCUCUCUGCCCUGGGCCUGCUGGCCCUGCUGGCCCUGACUGGCGUGAACGCCAUUAAGCAGACUCCAAAGAUUCAAGUAUAUUCCCGUCACCCAGCUGAAAAUGGGAAGCCAAACUACUUGAACUGCUAUGUAUCUGGGUUUCAUCCACCCCAGAUUGAAGUAGAAUUGUUGAAAAAUGGGGAAAAGAUGGAAAAGGUAGAGAAGUCAGACCUUUCUUUCAGCAAGGACUGGACUUUCUAUCUCCUGGUGCAUACCAACUUCACCCCCAAUGACAACGAUGAAUAUUCCUGCAGGGUUUUACACGUCACUCUGGAGGAACCCAAGAUAGUUAAGUGGGAUCGAAACAAAUAACCAGCAUCACGAAGAUUUGAAGACACCUCAUUUGGACAAUUUCAAAUUGUUUCUUUGCAUUUUAAAUUUGAUAAGCUUGUAUACUUUAUGCACUCAGCAAGGAAAUUAUAAUAACAUUAAUGUAGACAUUAUCUUCUUUAUAAUUCUACUUUGAGCACUGUCUUUAGAUUUGUCUUUCCCUGGAAUCUAGACUUUCAGGGAAAAAAAAACAACCCUGAAUACUAAGAUAUUGGAUCCUAACUAUCUUAAAAGGAACAAAAAAACCUUUGAUUGGAACUUUAUGUAUAAAAACUAUUCUGAUACUUUGGAGAGCUACAAGAAAGGCUGGUUUAUAAAAAAA